This 468-nucleotide ribosomal RNA is filed under the name uncultured bacterium. RNAcentral's name for it is "partial 16S ribosomal RNA". It matches the Rfam family "Bacterial small subunit ribosomal RNA", at positions 28 to 507 of the family's 1533-position model. The record is from RNAcentral.
GACGAACGCUGGCGGCGUGCUUAACACAUGCAAGUCGAACGGAAAGGCCCUGCUUUUGUGGGGUGCUCGAGUGGCGAACGGGUGAGUAACACGUGAGUAACCUGCCCUUGACUUUGGGAUAACUUCAGGAAACUGGGGCUAAUACCGGAUAGGAGCUCCUGCUGCAUGGUGGGGGUUGGAAAGUUUCGGCGGUUGGGGAUGGACUCGCGGCUUAUCAGCUUGUUGGUGGGGUAGUGGCUUACCAAGGCUUUGAUGGGUAGCCGGCCUGAGAGGGUGACCGGCCACAUUGGGACUGAGAUACGGCCCAGACUCCUACGGGAGGCAGCAGUGGGGAAUAUUGCACAAUGGGCGGAAGCCUGAUGCAGCAACGCCGCGUGCGGGAUGACGGCCUUCGGGUUGUAAACCGCUUUCGCCUGUGACGAAGCGUGAGUGACGGUAAUAGGUAAAGAAGCACCGGCUAACUACGUG